GGCCCAAUGGUCUAGUAGUAUGAUUCGCGCUUCGGGAUUUUGUCCCUCCUGCAUGCGGGAAAGAUUGCGCGAGGUCCCGGGUUCAAUUCCCGGUUGGGCCC
Non-coding RNA from Daedaleopsis nitida, 101 nucleotides. The record is from the annotation of a GenBank genome assembly. NCBI's taxonomy places the organism in Eukaryota, Fungi, Basidiomycota, Agaricomycetes, Polyporales, Polyporaceae.